GACGAACGCUGGCGGCGUGCUUAACACAUGCAAGUCGAACGGACAGGCCUGCUUUCCCUUGUGGAUUGCGGGUACUCGAGUGGCGAACGGGCGAGUAACACGUGAGUGAUUUGCACCCAACUUGGGUCUAAGCCCGGGAAACUGGGUCUAAUUCUCGAUAGGACUGCAGGGUGGUGUCUGUGGUGGCAAACGAUUUUCUAGUGGUUGGGGAUGAGCUCGCGGCCUAUCUGCUUGUUGGUGGGGUAAUGGCCUACCAAGGCGGCGACGGGUAGCCGGCCUGAGAUGGUGGACGGCCACAUUGAGACAGAGACACGGCCCAGACGCGUACGGGAGGCAGCAGUGGGGAAUAUAGGACAGUGGGCGGAAGGCUGAAGCAGCGACGCCGCGUGGAGGAUGACGGCCUUCGGGUUGUAAACUCCUUGCGACCGCGAGGAAGCCACCUGGUUGGAAGGGUGGUGACGGUAGUGGUAGAAGAAGCACCGGCUAACUACGUG
This 494-nucleotide ribosomal RNA is filed under the name uncultured bacterium. Its description in RNAcentral is "partial 16S ribosomal RNA". It matches the Rfam family "Bacterial small subunit ribosomal RNA", at positions 28 to 507 of the family's 1533-position model. The record is from RNAcentral.